RNAcentral lists this ribosomal RNA (770 nucleotides) under Niphargus stygius. Its description in RNAcentral is "partial large subunit ribosomal RNA". The record is from RNAcentral. Lineage: Eukaryota; Metazoa; Arthropoda; Malacostraca; Amphipoda; Niphargidae.
GCUCAGAGUAUAAGCCAAUGGAGCUUGGAAGGCUUCCGCAGAUGGUGUCCAUCAUACGUGGUGUUCUUAAGACCUUGAGUGUGGCUCGUGAAGCGAAGCAUUGAGUUUGCCGACCAGCUGUCGUGCGGGGGGUUCAGCUUGGGAGGGUUGGGUUUCGGUCCAACAGUUUUCCUUCUGUCCCCUUUUGAAUGGACGUUCAGAGCUCUUGUGUCUAAUGCGGUUAUGCCCACCACAGCACGUUGUGAGGUCACCCACAGGCUCAAACUGCCGAUCGCGCAUCCAGGACGAUGGCAACGAUGCGUUGUCGAUGAUGGCUCGAGAGAGACUUCACUCACACGCGUGUCUAGUCCUGGGUCGGGCGGCGACCGAGAUAAACCUGGUACGAUCCUCUUGCGACGAGCUGCUUUCUGGCCAGACCGACGCCCAGGCGCCUCCACUGUGCCGGAAGCGUCAACCCCAGGCGGUGUGAACCCAGCUGCAUUAUGCAAGGUCUCUCAGCCGGGCGUUGGUCUGAGUGGUGUUAAGUCCAGCACCAUCGGUCACGUCUCGAAACACGGGCCAAGGAGUAUAGCAUGUGUGCAAGUCUAAGGGUCUCACAAAACCCGAAGGCGAAGUGAAAGCAAGACUGUGGCGGGGGAGCUACGGCAAACCCGCCGGCCUAGUGGCGCGUGCGUCGCCUGGCUUUUAGCAGAGCUGAUCCUGUUUUCUCGGUUAAUUCUUGGUGCAGGCGCAAGCUCCGGGCUCACGUACAACACUGGUCACGCCUCGCG